GAUCUAGAGUCUGGGUUGUGUCCAGACGGUUGAAGCGUAUACCAGAUUGUCCCUCUGGGAAGUCUACAUUGCUUUGGUGGUGCUUUCUGGUAGCAGGGUUUGAUUAUCCUUGUAUGAGUCAGUCUCUUCAAGUGCAAGCAAUCAUAUGGGUCUUAGAUAAAUAUUUCAUAUCCAGGAGAGGCUUUAGGUUUUCUUGCAGUGCAUUUGGAAUGAUAAAGGCAGUGGCAUUUCCUUGCAAAGCAUCAAUAUUGCCUUUUGCAAGGAUUGAAGUGCCUAACCAGGUAAAAGUUAAAGGAGCAAGGAUGGAGCUCUCUUUAACUCAACCAGAUGAUUGGCAUCUUCAUCUACGAGAUGGUGACCUUCUUGAAGCUGUUGUCUCUCACAUGUCACUUUAUUUUUAUGAGCACGCUCUUUCAAAGUAGGCUGAUGAUUAUCCCACUCUUUUAGUUAUGGUCUUGAUGUAUAUGAACAACAACUCUUGUAAUUUUUAAUGUUGGAUUUUAGCAAACAGGUGCUUCUUGAGUUGUGAUGAUGAGGAGACAAUAAACCACAUUCUUAUUCAUUGCCCCAAGGCGAGGGUGUUGUGGAAUCUUGUGUUUUCGUUGUUUGGGGUUAAUUGGGUCCUUCCGCUUAGAGACACUCUCCUUGGUUGGUCCGCUUCCUUUGUGGACAAGAAGCAUGGAAAGACUUGGCGGGCAGCUCCCCUUUGUUUAUUUUGGUCGGUUUGGAAAGAAAGAAAUAGGAUAGUUUUUUAUAAUGAGGCUUUGUCGAUUCAAAGAUUAAAAAACUCCUUCGUUUGUAAUCUUUUCUCUUGGUCUAAGACUUGUUUAGAUGGAGAACCCCGCUCCUUAAUUAACUUUGUUGAUUGGUUGGGUUCUAAUUGAGGGUUGGUGAGUGUAUGCUUCCUUGUGUUUUUUGUUGUGGGGCUUCUCGUGUAUACUCCCUAUAUGCUUCGGGUUGCCUUCUU
Vitis riparia (riverbank grape) is the source of this 967-nucleotide long non-coding RNA. RefSeq lists it as uncharacterized. The record is from RefSeq and is a predicted model, not a curated record. Lineage: Eukaryota; Viridiplantae; Streptophyta; Magnoliopsida; Vitales; Vitaceae. The transcript has 4 exons.